Molecule: long non-coding RNA, 1970 nt
Organism: Gorilla gorilla gorilla (western lowland gorilla)
Lineage: Eukaryota; Metazoa; Chordata; Mammalia; Primates; Hominidae
Exons: 4
Source: RefSeq, a predicted model, not a curated record
ACCAUUCACUUUUCCUGCAGUUCCUUCACUUUUUCCCCUGACUUGGGCUAUUUCCUCUGUGUCCUUACUGUGGAAUAACUUUAGAGUAUCAUAGCUUCAUAGCACAUGAUACAUUAAUGAUCCAAGAUAAACCAAACCCCUAAAGCACAAUUUAUAUAGCUUUCUUCACCCUCCCCUGAAAACAAAAGGAAUCACUGCAAGUUAUCAGGUAAAAUGAUAUACACAAUCAGGGAAUAGAAAUAAACUCUAACAUGAUGGAUGAUUCCUGGUCUACAUCCUGUCGAAUUUACAAGCUCCUAUUUUAGAGUUUUGCAGCACAGACACUGUAGAUUGCAAUUGGUGCUCAGCUGCAAAACCCAUCACCAGCCUCACAGCAGCAGGGCUCAGAUAGCAAGGUUCCUCAUUCACCAUCGUCAGAAAUGUCCAGGAAUAGUUCUGCUUAGAAAAGACAGUGUUGACAAUUGAACAGGGUCAAAAAGUGAUAACCCAUUAGGAAGAUGCUUGGGAAAUUCACAUAAUUUAAUUUAUAAAUGGAAGUAGAAUUUUCCAAAAGUUUUUUUUUUUUAAUUAAAACACAAAAGUUAGUUGGGACAAUUUAUGGGUAAAAGGUCAUUCCUACAUUAUUGUGGUCCACACAUUUUAUUUUUACAGGUUGUGGGGAAAGAACACGAGACCAAAGAAUAUAGAGAUUAAGAAACCUGCCAAAGAGAUACGGAUUUCACUGAUCUUGCCACUUAUGAGCUAUGUAUGGUAGUACCAAUCAAUCACACAGGGUGAUGGGAAAAGCUAAUGAGAGAAUGCAUUUCACAGGACACUCAGCCAAGGGCCAGGCGCACAGUAACCAGUAAAAAAAUGAUACUCAGUAUUGCCCACUAAUUAUGGGUGCGGGGAGAGGAAGAAAGACAGGUAGAUAUGCAGGUAGGUAUGGUAAUUUCAGGAUAUGAUUGACAUCUCUGGUCUUCAUAGGUGCAGCUCCCAGCUCACUAUACUUGAGGCCACUGCAGUGCCACUUCACAUGGUGCAGGAGUGAACAUUGACCUUGCAGGUCUGAAAACAUCUGCCUUUAGUUAUUUCUCAUUUUGGAGAAAGAAGAUUUUGAAACUGAAGAUUUAAGUAAUUUGCCAGAGUCAGAAUGCUGUAGGCAUCAGAACUCGAUUUUCGAACUUAAGUUUAUCUGACUCAAAAGCUUUUGCCUUUCACCACCACCCUAUUGCUUCUAAAAUGUCAAACAUCGGCUGAACCACAGGACAGGUAUCCUAUAAGUGAGGAGGAUGUGGAUGCACCCCCAUGUGUACGUAAGGACACACGAGCUAAAGGCUUUACCUGACCCAGUAAAAGUGUCAAGCGCUCCAUCUCCAGUCGUGGUUGUGGUUUCACUGCUGUUCAAGGGCUCUGUUUUGACUGCAAGAAGAGACACUACGUAGAAGAAUAAGUACAUGACAGCAAACCAAAAUCAUUACAUGCAAUAAAAUGGAAGCAAAAUCCUUUUAUAGAAGACAAGCACCGUAUUUCUCAACCAAAUGCAAGCUUACACACCAAAUGUUUUGAUUUCAAAAGAAACAAUAUUUUAAUGUCCUAGGUUGAAGAGUUUUGUGGGAUUAUUAUUCUAUAUCUUCAAAGUAAGUGAGUCAGAGCUCAUUUUGCUAAAAGUGGCAUAAAAUUACUUUCUAUAGCACUUUGUCGAGAACCGUUAAGAAAUCCUUGUACUGUCAGGCCCCCCUCCCCACUAGUUAGCUACUUGCAAUUUGGAUGUUUUUGAUAGAGUCAAAUGGUAAAAAUAAAUAAACAUACAUGAUUGGCUUUUCCAUUUUUUUAGCUUUAAAAAUAAUUCUUAUCUAUAGACUAAAUCAAGGUCAUACAUAAUUAUUGUCAGGUACCAGUAAUGGCUACUAAAUCACAGAUUUCCUGUCUUCACAUCCCAACCUUCAUCCCUACUGCCAUACACUUAUUUUUAAAGCAAUCUUACUCUU